AGCAGCCGCGGUAAUUCCAGCUCCAAUAGCGUAUAUUAAAGUUGUUGCAGUUAAAAAGCUCGUAGUUGAAUUUCGGGGUUAGUAGGUUGGUCAUGCCUCUGGUAUGUACUGGUCUCACUGAUUCCUCCUUCCUGAUGAACCUUAAUGCCAUUAAUUUGGUGUUUUGGGGAAUUUGGACUGUUACUUUGAAAAAAUUAGAGUGUUUAAAGCAAGCUAACGCUUGAAUACAUUAGCAUGGAAUAAUGAAAUAGGACGUUCGAUCCUAUUUUGUUGGUUUCUAGGAUUGACGUAAUGAUUAAUAGGGAUAGUUGGGGGCAUUAGUAUUCAAUUGUCAGAGGUGAAAUUCUUGGAUUUAUUGAAGACUAACUACUGCGAAAGCAUUUGCCAAGGAUGUUUUCAUUAAUCAAGAACGAAAGUUAGGGGAUCGAAGACGAUCAGAUACCGUCGCAGUCUUAACCAUAAACUAUGCCGACUAGGGAUCGGAUGAUGUUAAUUUUUUAAUGACUCAUUCGGCGCCUUA
RNAcentral lists this ribosomal RNA (520 nucleotides) under uncultured Glomus. RNAcentral's name for it is "SSU rRNA". It matches the Rfam family "Eukaryotic small subunit ribosomal RNA", at positions 569 to 1090 of the family's 1831-position model. Lineage: Eukaryota; Fungi; Glomeromycota; Glomeromycetes; Glomerales; Glomeraceae. The record is from RNAcentral.